RNAcentral lists this ribosomal RNA (380 nucleotides) under Belvosia sp. Woodley04D. RNAcentral describes it as "partial ribosomal RNA". Lineage: Eukaryota; Metazoa; Arthropoda; Insecta; Diptera; Tachinidae. The record is from RNAcentral.
GGCAAAUGCCAAAAANAAACAAAAUANCAAUANUAAAAUNUUUAUUAUUGUNUCGCCUCCUAGGCAAAAAAGUAUAGUAUAAAGUGUUUUGUGUGUGUUACACAUUACACAAAAAAUUCCUUAUUUAUAUAAAAUUUGUAAAAAUUGAAAUUGUGUGGACAUAUUAUAUCAAAUUAAUUUGUAUACAAAAUGUCUAAAAAUUUGAAAUACAUAAAAUUAUAGUUGUACUUGUAUAAAAUUGAAAAGUAAUUUUAUAUAAGUCAAUCAUUGUUCUUUUUUUAAGAACUUGAGACAUUCGCAACAAAANUUUUAUGUUUUAAUUAUAAAAGAGAAUAAUAAUAAGCAAAAAUUAUUGAAGGAAUUGAUAUAUGCCAAUUUGA